Molecule: ribosomal RNA, 253 nt
Filed under: uncultured bacterium
Lineage: Bacteria
Description: partial 16S ribosomal RNA
Rfam family: Bacterial small subunit ribosomal RNA
Source: RNAcentral
UACGAGGGGAGCUAGCGUUGUUCGGAAUUACUGGGCGUAAAGGGCGUGUAGGCGGUAUUAUAAGUCAGAUGUGAAAGCCCUGGGCUUAACCUAGGAACUGCAUUUGAUACUGUAAAACUAGAGAUCGAGAGAGGAAAGUGGAAUUACGAGUGUAGAGGUGAAAUUCGUAGAUAUUCGUAAGAACACCAGUGGCGAAGGCGACUUUCUGGCUCGAUACUGACGCUAAGGCGCGAAAGCGUGGGGAGCAAACAGG